This is a non-coding RNA of Whalleya microplaca, 88 nucleotides long. The record is from the annotation of a GenBank genome assembly. Lineage: Eukaryota; Fungi; Ascomycota; Sordariomycetes; Xylariales; Xylariaceae.
CUCUCGAUAGCUCAGUUGGUUUAGAGCGCUCGGCUGUAAUUGAAUUCAUGGUACCGAGAGGUCGCUAGUUCGAUUCUGGCUCGAGAGA